Molecule: ribosomal RNA, 1369 nt
Filed under: uncultured bacterium
Lineage: Bacteria
Description: bacterial SSU rRNA
Rfam family: Bacterial small subunit ribosomal RNA
Source: RNAcentral
GACGAACGCUGGCGGCGUGCCUAAUACAUGCAAGUAGAACGCUGAAGAGAGGAGCUUGCUCUUCUUGGAUGAGUUGCGAACGGGUGAGUAACGCGUAGGUAACCUGCCUUAUAGCGGGGGAUAACUAUUGGAAACGAUAGCUAAUACCGCAUAACAAUGGAUGACACAUGUCAUUUAUUUGAAAGGGGCAAUUGCUCCACUGCAAGAUGGACCUGCGUUGUAUUAGCUAGUAGGUGAGGUAACGGCUCACCUAGGCGACGAUACAUAGCCGACCUGAGAGGGUGAUCGGCCACACUGGGACUGAGACACGGCCCAGACUCCUACGGGAGGCAGCAGUAGGGAAUCUUCGGCAAUGGGGGCAACCCUGACCGAGCAACGCCGCGUGAGUGAAGAAGGUUUUCGGAUCGUAAAGCUCUGUUGUAAGUCAAGAACGAGUGUGAGAGUGGAAAGUUCACACUGUGACGGUAGCUUACCAGAAAGGGACGGCUAACUACGUGCCAGCAGCCGCGGUAAUACGUAGGUCCCGAGCGUUGUCCGGAUUUAUUGGGCGUAAAGCGAGCGCAGGCGGUUUGAUAAGUCUGAAGUUAAAGGCUGUGGCUCAACCAUAGUUCGCUUUGGAAACUGUCAAACUUGAGUGCAGAAGGGGAGAGUGGAAUUCCAUGUGUAGCGGUGAAAUGCGUAGAUAUAUGGAGGAACACCGGUGGCGAAAGCGGCUCUCUGGUCUGUAACUGACGCUGAGGCUCGAAAGCGUGGGGAGCGAACAGGAUUAGAUACCCUGGUAGUCCACGCCGUAAACGAUGAGUGCUAGGUGUUGGAUCCUUUCCGGGAUUCAGUGCCGCAGCUAACGCAUUAAGCACUCCGCCUGGGGAGUACGACCGCAAGGUUGAAACUCAAAGGAAUUGACGGGGGCCCGCACAAGCGGUGGAGCAUGUGGUUUAAUUCGAAGCAACGCGAAGAACCUUACCAGGUCUUGACAUCCCGAUGCUAUUUCUAGAGAUAGAAAGUUACUUCGGUACAUCGGUGACAGGUGGUGCAUGGUUGUCGUCAGCUCGUGUCGUGAGAUGUUGGGUUAAGUCCCGCAACGAGCGCAACCCCUAUUGUUAGUUGCCAUCAUUCAGUUGGGCACUCUAGCGAGACUGCCGGUAAUAAACCGGAGGAAGGUGGGGAUGACGUCAAAUCAUCAUGCCCCUUAUGACCUGGGCUACACACGUGCUACAAUGGUUGGUACAACGAGUUGCGAGUCGGUGACGGCAAGCUAAUCUCUUAAAGCCAAUCUCAGUUCGGAUUGUAGGCUGCAACUCGCCUACAUGAAGUCGGAAUCGCUAGUAAUCGCGGAUCAGCACGCCGCGGUGAAUACGUUCCCGGGCCU